UCUACUGAGAUGAGUUGUGACACUAUUAGUGCAGUAAUGCAGUAAUAUACAAGUGCUACUGCUGGAACGAAUAAUGUCACUAUUAAUGCAAUAAUGUCAUUGCUGGAACGAGUAGUGGCAUUGCUAGUGCACUAUUGUAAUACAUAUAAAAAUGAUUUGAAUACAAAUGCAAGAGUAUAGUUACGCGAAUUCAUUCCUGCAUUAGUAGUAGCACCAUAGUUGUGCUCAAAGUCUCGCUACAAAUGCUUUGAAGCAUUUGAUAGACUAAUUAAUUAAAAGAAAGAAUUUUACGAAGGGUGCUUCCGAUAACCCAAGUUUGAGUUAGUUCCAUUAAGACCGAAAAUAUGACAGACUACCUAGUACUUUCAUGAUUCAUGAUAACUCAACGCUGUCUUGUAUGCCAUGAGUUGAGUUAGUUAACCUAUUUAUGCUCAAUUUCUUCACUUCUAGAUGGACAUCACCUCGAAUUGGGCAUUGCAGAAAUUUACUUAAUUACAAGUAGAACAAAAUGUUUACUGCAGAUAAAUUUGUUGAAGAAACAAACAAUGUUGUUAAUUGCAGAGUUCAAUGGACUGAUGACAUGACAAAAUUAUUGUUAGCAGAAAUACAAAUAAAUACAGAAACCUCUACAAACUUUUAUGGAAAAUUGAAAAAAAUGUAUGAAAAAUAUUGCUGCAUCUAUGAACAUCCAUGGAUAUAACUUAACUGCUGACAAUUGUUACAUUAAAUGGAGUAUGAAAAAAAAGUAUACAAAGCAAUUAAAGAUGCAAAGAAACAAACUAGGACAGCAAAACAAACUUGGGAAUAUUUUGAUAUUAUUAAUGAUAUGUUAGGACAAAAUCCUGCAAUUGCAUCAUUGUUCAUUGCAUCUAAUAUACGUGGUUUUACAAUAAAUAAAAAUAUUUUACAUUCA
Acromyrmex echinatior (Panamanian leafcutter ant) is the source of this 913-nucleotide long non-coding RNA. RefSeq lists it as uncharacterized. NCBI's taxonomy places the organism in Eukaryota, Metazoa, Arthropoda, Insecta, Hymenoptera, Formicidae. The record is from RefSeq and is a predicted model, not a curated record.